AAACAGAACGUUGGGUUUAAAUGCAGCAAAAUCCACAGAGACCGAGUAAGGCAGAGAGAGUGAGCGCAAGGGCAAAUAAUCUAUCACUGUCUAAACAGGCUGUCUAUGGAGCAAGGGUCUUUCAGUACAUGUGGCUGACUGUUAAUAUGGAUAGAGAAGUAUCGGCCACAUGGGAGGUGGGUGAAAGUGAGAGCAUUGCGAAGAUGCUGACAAAGUCCCCGACAGACCGUUUGGGGAGUGCUGGUGUGUUGUCGUGAAAGGAUGCUUGGAGACAGUUGUACAAGGAUCAACUGUAGAGAUAAGGACCGCACUCACCCACUGCUUUGAACCUUGUACAGCUACUUUACCUUCUUUUCGACUUUUUCUAAUCUGACUAAAUGUGUGUGACAGGUGUGGAAAGAGGCAAUACUCAGAUGGAUGAAGUUUGCAGGUCGUGACCAGACUUCCUUACAUCGCCUCCAGCUGAUGCAGAAUGCACUUUCAAGCUUGCUAACAGUGUUCCCUCCAUUUCCUCGCCAAGUGAAUUCCUACCGCCACGCCGCCAAGCCAGCCCCCUGGCCUCGUCACCGCCUGCCACGCAUUCCCUGCCUCCACAACCCGCCAGCGCUCCUCAAGGACCAUCUAAAUUUCC
Phyllopteryx taeniolatus (common seadragon) is the source of this 631-nucleotide long non-coding RNA. RefSeq lists it as uncharacterized. The transcript has 3 exons. NCBI's taxonomy places the organism in Eukaryota, Metazoa, Chordata, Actinopteri, Syngnathiformes, Syngnathidae. The record is from RefSeq and is a predicted model, not a curated record.